UGAGGAAUAUUGGGCAAUGGGCGCAAGCCUGACCCAGCCACGCCGCGUGUGUGAUGAAGGCCUUCGGGUCGUAAAGCACUGUGGAGAGGGACGAAAACGUGCAGGAGGAAAUGCCUGCGCCUUGACGGUACCUCUUUAGCAAGCACCGGCUAACUCUGUG
RNAcentral lists this ribosomal RNA (160 nucleotides) under uncultured Myxococcales bacterium. Its description in RNAcentral is "partial 16S ribosomal RNA". It matches the Rfam family "Bacterial small subunit ribosomal RNA", at positions 355 to 507 of the family's 1533-position model. The record is from RNAcentral. Lineage: Bacteria; Pseudomonadati; Myxococcota; Myxococcia; Myxococcales.